RNAcentral lists this ribosomal RNA (427 nucleotides) under uncultured Ferrimonas sp. RNAcentral describes it as "bacterial SSU rRNA". It matches the Rfam family "Bacterial small subunit ribosomal RNA", at positions 353 to 772 of the family's 1533-position model. The record is from RNAcentral. Lineage: Bacteria; Pseudomonadati; Pseudomonadota; Gammaproteobacteria; Alteromonadales; Ferrimonadaceae.
AGUGGGGAAUAUUGCACAAUGGGCGCAAGCCUGAUGCAGCCAUGCCGCGUGUAUGAAGAAGGCCUUCGGGUUGUAAAGUACUUUCAGCGAGGAGGAAAGGGUGUGAGUUAAUACCUCACAUCUGUGACGUUACUCGCAGAAGAAGCACCGGCUAACUCCGUGCCAGCAGCCGCGGUAAUACGGAGGGUGCGAGCGUUAAUCGGAAUUACUGGGCGUAAAGCGCAUGCAGGCGGUUUGUUAAGCGAGAUGUGAAAGCCCCGGGCUCAACCUGGGAACUGCAUUUCGAACUGGCAAACUAGAGUCUUGUAGAGGGAGGUAGAAUUUCAGGUGUAGCGGUGAAAUGCGUAGAGAUCUGAAGGAAUACCAGUGGCGAAGGCGGCCUCCUGGACAAAGACUGACGCUCAGAUGCGAAAGCGUGGGGAGCAAA